RNA transcript from Penaeus chinensis, 1898 nucleotides. RefSeq lists it as uncharacterized. The transcript has 6 exons. NCBI's taxonomy places the organism in Eukaryota, Metazoa, Arthropoda, Malacostraca, Decapoda, Penaeidae. The record is from RefSeq and is a predicted model, not a curated record.
ACAGAGGGAUGCUAGUUAUCUUUACGGAGCGAAGAUGAAUACUCAUAUUUUGGUUCUGCUCACGGCAAAGUUGGUUACUUCGACCAGCACAUGCAAUGAAUGGGCAUCGACCACUCACAACCGCUCGGUUGAAGUGAACUCUACGUGGGAAAACAUCUACAUUUUUUUUAUCAGCGAAAAACAGAACACUCGCUUCCAAAUCACAUUUUCCAAGCCUAUGGAAAGUUUUGAUUUAAGCCUACAUGAAGCAUAUGUAUACUACAUAGGGAGAGUGUACCAUCAGGGUACUGUCACUGGUGACUGUGAAUCGUACAGUCCCGUAUGUAAAACUUAUUUUCAUUUUGGGGACGCAGACCAUUUGAUAGGUAGAUCGGGUUCAAGCAGUUUCCUUAUUUCAAGCCAGUCAUUGGUCUAUUACCUGACAUGUAGAUCACUUGGGUAUUUUCCCGAGGCGCCAGUGCUGAGACAGAACUUCAGUCUUCCAGACGUGAAACCUACAGAGCCACAGCGGAACCUCAGCCUACCAGGCGUGAAACCUACAGAGCCAGAACAAAACCUUCCAGGCGUGGGUCCUAAUCAACCCAAAGACCAAAACCGGUGUACCGCCCUGACCAUCGGGCUCGGGGUCGUAGGGACGGCGCUACUGCUCGUAUUGGCUUUCGUCUGCGUCGCCGGUUGGAGGACAAGGCGGGCAGCGGCGUCAGCGAAAGACGAAGCAGCAUCUGGCAACAGCACAGUUUCCUGCCACGACAGCGAGAACAGCACCUACGGGACAAUGGAAAUGACUCCUACCAACACCUGAAAACGUGACCUGGUGACCUACAAUUACAGAUCUGGUUUCAAUCCAGCAGCGAAGAGGUGACAUAACUCGGUGACAGAGCGCUGGCAUUGCAAACGCACGGUUUCAGGUUCGCAUGCUGGGGUCAAGGUCGCAUGGUUUCAGGUUCGCAUGCUGGGGUCAAGGUCGCAUGGUUUCAGGUUCGUAUGCUGGAGUCAAAGUCGCAUGGUUUCAGGUUCGCAUGCUGGGGUCAAGGUCGCAUGGUUUCAGGUUCGCAUGCUGGAGUCAAAGUCGCAUGGUUUCAGGUUCUUAUGCUGGGGUCAAGGUCGCAUGGUUUCAGGUUCGCAUGCUGGGGUCAAGGUCGCAUGGUUUCAGGUUUGCAUACUGGGGUCAAGGUCGCAUGGUUUCAGGUUCGUAUGCUGGAGUCAAAGUCGCAUGGUUUCAGGUUCGUAUGCUGGGGUCAAGGUCGCAUGGUUUCAGGUUCGCAUGCUGGAGUCAAAGUCGCAUGGUUUCAGGUUCGCAUGCUGGGGUCAAGGUCGCAUGGUUUCAGGUUCGCAUGCUGGAGUCAAAGUCGCAUGGUUUCAGGUUCUUAUGCUGGGGUCAAGGUCGCAUGGUUUCAGGUUCGCAUGCUGGGGUCAAGGUCGCAUGGUUUCAGGUUCGCAUACUGGGGUCAAGGUCGCAUGGUUUCAGGUUCGCAUGCUGGGGUCAAAGUAAGAGCUGGAAGGUAAUGACCACCCUACCGUAUCAUCCAGCUGCAUAGUAUUCCUUUUUCUCUACGGACAUGGGCCCCUACACCCACUCGGUUAUGGGACCGACUUUGACCUUGAGCUAAAUAACAAUUAAGUUUAUUACAAUUGUUAGAAUUGUUAUUCUGGGUGUGUGACAGGCUGUUUGUUUAAUUUUGUUUAUAAAUUACCCCAUGCGUGUUAUGCUUUAAAAUAUUUCACUCUGUUUGAUUUUUUAAAGGUUACUGUAAUUUUAGACUUUGUUAAUGUAUAAUGGGAGAAAGGGAAGUAGAAAGAGAAGGAGAUAGAGGGACAAGGAAAAAUAUAUAUUUCUAUCAUUUAAUCUAUCUCUCUAUCUAUCUAUCUACCUAUCUAUCAGUUUAUUUCUCUCUCCC